CAAGUCGAACGCGAAAGUCCCCUUCGGGGGGCGAGUAGAGUGGCGCACGGGUGAGUAACACGUAGGUAAUCUACCUUCGGAUGGGGAAUAACAAUCGGAAACGGUUGCUAAUACCGCAUAAUGCAGCGGCACCUAAUGGUGUCAGUUGUUAAAGCGGGGGAUCGAAAGACCUCGCGUCUGAAGAGGAGCCUGCGGCGGAUUAGCUAGUUGGUAGGGUAACGGCCUACCAAGGCGACGAUCCGUAGCCGGCCUGAGAGGGCGGUCGGCCACACUGACACUGACAUACGGGUCAGACUCCUACGGGAGGCAGCAGUCGGGAAUUUUGGGCAAUGGGCGAAAGCCUGACCCAGCAACGCCGCGUGAAGGAUGAAAUCCCUCGGGAUGUAAACUUCGCAAGAACGGGAAGAAUAAGUCUGUGUGAACACCACAGACGAUGACGGUACCGUUUGUAAGCUCCGGCUAACUCCGUGCCAGCAGCCGCGGUAAUACGGGGGGAGCAAGCGUUGUUCGGAUUUACUGGGCGUAAAGGGCGCGUANGCGGCCACUGCAAGUCAGUUGUGAAAUCUCCGGGCUUAACUCGGAAAGGUCAACUGAUACUGCAGGGCUAGAGUGCGGAAGGGGCAACUGGAAUUCUCGGUGUAGCGGUGAAAUGCGUAGAUAUCGAGAGGAACACCUGCGGCGAAGGCGGGUUGCUGGGCCGACACUGACGCUGAUGUGCGAAAGCUAGGGGAGCGAACGGGAUUAGAUACCCCGGUAGUCCUAGCCUUAAACGAUGAAUGCUUGGUGUCUGGGGUUUUAAAGUCCCC
Molecule: ribosomal RNA, 806 nt
Filed under: uncultured Pseudomonadota bacterium
Lineage: Bacteria; Pseudomonadati; Pseudomonadota
Description: bacterial SSU rRNA
Rfam family: Bacterial small subunit ribosomal RNA
Source: RNAcentral